GAUCCUGGCUCAGGAUGAACGCUGGCGGCGUGCCUAACACAUGCAAGUCGAACGAAGCACUUCUCUUGGAGAUUCGUCAAAGAGGGAUUUGACUUAGUGGCGGACGGGUGAGUAAUGUAUGAGCAACCUGCCUUUCAGAGGGGGACAACAGUUGGAAACGACUGCUAAUACCGCAUAAUGUAUUUAGGGGGGCAUCCCCUGGAUACCAAAGGAGCAAUCCGCUGAAAGAUGGGCUCAUAUCUGAUUAGUUAGUUGGCAGGGUAACGGCCUACCAAGACUGCGAUCAGUAGCCGGACUGAGAGGUUGAACGGCCACAUUGGGACUGAGAUACGGCCCAGACUCCUACGGGAGGCAGCAGUGGGGAAUAUUGGGCAAUGGGCGAAAGCCCUGACCCAGCAACGCCGCGUGAAGGAAGAAGGUCUUCGGAUUGUAAACUUCUUUUAUGAGGGACGAAGGACGUGACGGUACCUCAUGAAUAAGCCACGGCUAACUACGUGCCAGCCGCAGC
Molecule: ribosomal RNA, 508 nt
Filed under: uncultured bacterium
Lineage: Bacteria
Description: bacterial SSU rRNA
Rfam family: Bacterial small subunit ribosomal RNA
Source: RNAcentral